Molecule: transfer RNA, 78 nt
Filed under: Elusimicrobia bacterium GWA2_66_18
Lineage: Bacteria; Pseudomonadati; Elusimicrobiota
Also listed under: 3 other names
Description: tRNA-Met
Source: RNAcentral
CGCGACGGGCAGUUUUUCCCAGCUGGCUCUAGGCUCAUAACCUUGAGGUCGCUGGUUCAAAUCCAGCCCCCGCAACCA